This 253-nucleotide ribosomal RNA is filed under the name uncultured bacterium. RNAcentral describes it as "partial 16S ribosomal RNA". It matches the Rfam family "Bacterial small subunit ribosomal RNA", at positions 524 to 776 of the family's 1533-position model. The record is from RNAcentral.
UACGAAGGGGGCUAGCGUUGUUCGGAUUUACUGGGCGUAAAGCGCACGUAGGCGGAUCGUUAAGUCGGGGGUGAAAUCCUGGAGCUCAACUCCAGAACUGCCUUCGAUACUGGCGAUCUUGAGUCCGGAAGAGGUGAGUGGAAUUCCUAGUGUAGAGGUGGAAUUCGUAGAUAUUAGGAAGAACACCAGUGGCGAAGGCGGCUCACUGGUCCGGUACUGACGCUGAGGCACGAAAGCGUGGGGAGCAAACAGG